ACUUGAGAGGUGAUAUGGAUUAGGAAUCGUCUGUAUAAAUGGUAGGCAAAACCAGGGAAUUGAAGGGAGAUACAGUGCCUUUUGGAGUUAAGGGAGGCAGGAAGGAGCAGAAUCAGUUGCACGUGCAGAGAAUGUAGCCUUAGUGAGCUUUAGAGGUAUCUCUUCUAUGAUUACCAAAUAAAAAAAGAGGCUGAAAAACUUUGAGGAGUGCAUAAGGACAAAUGAGAGUGUUCACAUGGGAUGGACUCAAUCAUUUCAAUAAAGGAGGAUGCUAGAUUAUCUGCUAUAAAUGUGGAUGUCAGAGGCACUAUUGAGAGGAGAGGGCUAAAGAAGAAUUGAUUUCAGUUGGAAAAUGGAAUGUUAAGGUUCUGACUGUUAAAUUUGGUGAAAUUACAGGAGACAGUUAGUUUGAAAUCAUGACCUUGUUAACAAGAGGCUGAAGAGAAAUCAAGGCCAUUGCAGUUGAAGAAUGUAAGGAACUGUGUGAUUAAGAUGUUAGUCUAUCAUCAUGGAGACUGAGAAAGGAAAAUUCCUAGAAGGAAAUGCUUCAGUCCUUCCCUGAAGUCAUCACUGGCCCCAUUGCUUCAUGAUCGUCUUCAGAUGGCCAUACCAGGAGUCCAUCCUUCCUCCAAAUCCCUGUGGGACAGGGUCUAGUACAUUUUUAGGCAAAAGGAGCAGACUAUUAUUAUCAAUCACAGCAGCAUUACAAUUAGUAAUGGCGAUUUUUUUUCCUGCUCAUUUGCAUCAUGGGCUGUACAUGAAGCUCCGAGGAUUUGCACGUGGGCAUUUUAAAACAGGAGCUGGCUCCAAUAUAGUAAGGAGAGAGUAACAAGAAAUGAAGCUAAAAAAGUAAAUGGGAUCCAGGCUGUUCAGGAACUUCCAUACCAAAAAAAGGCAUUUGUGUUUUAUCCUAGAAGGAAAAAAAGGAAUCAUUUAUUAAUAAUAAAUGCUAUUAUUAAAUAAUUAAUAACA
Molecule: long non-coding RNA, 972 nt
Organism: Monodelphis domestica (gray short-tailed opossum)
Lineage: Eukaryota; Metazoa; Chordata; Mammalia; Didelphimorphia; Didelphidae
Source: Ensembl